RNAcentral lists this ribosomal RNA (445 nucleotides) under uncultured bacterium. Its description in RNAcentral is "partial 16S ribosomal RNA". It matches the Rfam family "Bacterial small subunit ribosomal RNA", at positions 354 to 796 of the family's 1533-position model. The record is from RNAcentral.
GUGGGGAAUAUUGGUCAAUGGGCGAGAGCCUGAACCAGCCAAGUCGCGUGAAGGAAGAAGGAUCUAUGGUUCGUAAACUUCUUUUGCAGGGGAAUAAAGUGCGGGACGUGUCCUGUUUUGUAUGUACCCUGAGAAUAAGGAUCGGCUAACUCCGUGCCAGCAGCCGCGGUAAUACGGAGGAUCCGAGCGUUAUCCGGAUUUAUUGGGUUUAAAGGGUGCGUAGGUGGUUUGAUAAGUCAGCGGUGAAAGUUUGCAGCUUAACUGUAAAAAUGCCGUUGAAACUGUCGGACUUGAGUGUAAAUGAGGUAGGCGGAAUGCGUGGGGUAGCGGUGAAAUGCAUAGAUAUCACGCAGAACUCCGAUUGCGAAGGCAGCUUACUAAGCUACAACUGACACUGAAGCACGAAAGCGUGGGGAUCAAACAGGAUUAGAAACCCCGGUAGUCC